This is a non-coding RNA of Pelobates cultripes (western spadefoot toad), 227 nucleotides long. NCBI's taxonomy places the organism in Eukaryota, Metazoa, Chordata, Amphibia, Anura, Pelobatidae. The record is from the annotation of a GenBank genome assembly.
GUCAUUGCAUAGUAUAUACAUACAAAUACAUCAACUUUCAUGCCAAAUGGAGAGCAAGGGGAGAUCUAUAAGUUGGUCACAUAAUUCCAGAGUCACAUUAGAGUCGUAUACAAAUUUUCCAUCCUUAAGUCUUUAGGUGUGACCUGGACAUUCUAUCAUUCAGGGAAAACCAUAAUCACCAUAUUCACUUUAUAAGUUUUCUAGCCAAAAAGUGCUAUAGUCUUUAG